UACCUUGGAAAUAUCACAAUAUUCCACCAAAUUUUCUAGAAAACCCCUCUUUUCAACCAACUCUGGGGUGAUCAGUCCCUUUAGGCAAAUCUGGGCUACGUUUCUAGAAAUAUCACAUAACAACUGGAUGCAUUCACAACACUGCACCAAUACUUCUUCAUAUACACUAUAUCUCAACACAUGAAUAAUCUUAUUCAUAAAAAAAAUAAAAAUAACGAGUGAUACACAUUUAAACACAUAAGCACAAUAAAUUUUGAAUGGCG
Molecule: long non-coding RNA, 263 nt
Filed under: Mytilus galloprovincialis (Mediterranean mussel)
Lineage: Eukaryota; Metazoa; Mollusca; Bivalvia; Mytilida; Mytilidae
Source: RNAcentral